RNAcentral lists this long non-coding RNA (2214 nucleotides) under Malus domestica (apple). RNAcentral's name for it is "long non-coding RNA (MDOM_LNC017462)". The record is from RNAcentral. Lineage: Eukaryota; Viridiplantae; Streptophyta; Magnoliopsida; Rosales; Rosaceae.
GUGCCAUGUUUUUGGGAAUUUUCGGCCAAAUCCAAAGGCUGGAUUUUUGGGUUCUUGUUUGACUUGUUAAAAGUGUUUUCAAGUGACUUUUGGAACCCCUAUGCACCCUAGUUUGGUUAUAUGUUAUUUCCCUUAAGUUUGAAUGGUUUUGGGAUGUUUUUGGGUGAAAAAUGUUCAUGGAAAUUUUUGAGUUUUUCAUGAGUGUUCUUCAUUGUUCUUGACAUUUUUGCCAAGAACAAAAAGUUUGGUGUUUUGAUUCAAAGUUUUAAUUUAUUUCAUAAAGUUUAUGUUUUAUGAAUUUUCAAAUGUUUAAAUGUAUUAGAUAUUUGUUUAGAAAGGUGGUAGAAUUAUUGGUGGGUGUGUAAGGAUUAAUUCCCUUUCACACACACCACUUACACUACUUGCACCACUUGCAUGCUUUAUGUCAAAACUCACAAAUCAACACACACAUCACUCCUUUCCCUCUCCAAAACCGGCCACUCCCUCAAUGGGAGUACUUUUGGGGCUUUUAUGCAAUUACAUAAAGUUUUGAUACUUUUGUGUAUUUGCACUUUGGCCCAAAAGUUUACGUUUUUACGUUUAGGUCCACAAACGCUAAAGGACAAAUUGUUUUGCUCCUUUAAUGAAGUUUUUGCAUUGUUUAAAUUUUGGGUUCUAGUUGUAAUUACAUGAAGUAGUGGACUUUUGUGUUUUUACAAAGUGACCCCAAAAGUUUAUGUUUUUGCAAUAUAGCCCAAAUGCCAAAUGUUGUGGUAAUUGCAUAUUGGCCCAAAUUAGGUUGAGAGAACAAAAUUGUUUUGUCUCUUUAAAUGAGAAUUGGAUUUUCAUUUCAUUUAGCUCCAUUUAAAUCAAUUUUAUGGAUACAAAAACCAAAUGAAAAUGUUGCAUUCAAUUUAAUUAGUUAAAGUGUUAAUUAAUUAAAGGGUGAUUAUGAACCUAAGCCUACGAUAAUUGAGUUAUGUGAAAGGCCGUUUCAAAUUUGUUUGAACCAUGGGAAUGUGUAGAUUAGAUUUUGGUUGUAAUUUGAUUUGAUCAAAUGUUGUAAAAGAGCAUAAGCUCUUCUUUACUUUAAAGUAAUUUAUUUUGAUCAAUUGUUGUAAAAGAGCAUAAUCACUUCUUUACUUUGAAGUACUCCUUUCUUGUAUUAUUUGAUAUGCAUGAAAAUGGAGUAGAGGGUCCAACGCCCCUAAGACAACACGCCUUAAUGUGAUUAAACGCGUAACUAAAAUCAAUCACCAUCCCUAGACCGAGAUUCAACACUAGGCUCGUGUUGAAUCUAAACAAAGGUUCAUAGUCAUCCUAAGGCCCUAAGGCAACUAUAUAGUCCAUCAAUGAAUGCAAACCUUAUGUUAGUAGUAUCAUAUACUCUUGCUUAAAAACCGUUUUAUAAGCAUAGUGGGAGUAUUAUAUACAACUAAAACAAUCAAAUUGACCAAUAGUUGUAAUAGGACCAAAAUUGUUUUAAUUAGAUUAAAAUGUAUGUUUAUAUGUGAUGAGACCUAAAACCCUCAACCAAACCAUUAUUAAGUUGACAAGCGUGAGAGUGCUUUGAACACUUUUUCGUGGCCUUCCACCGUGGUAGGCUCCAAUCGUUUAUGACUUGUACACCGCCUUCACCCUAUCAUGGGGGAGUGCAAAGUGCAUGCUUAUACUCAGGAGGAGUUUAUUUAAAACAUUUGAUGAGGUUAAGGUAGGCAACGAGUGUGGCCAACAUCGUAUCAUCGUGAGGUCAUACUUGAACCCGUAUCUAAACCGGCAUGGUGGGAAAGAACUUAACUAAGAGGAAAUGGUGCCAACAUCGUAUCAUCGUGAGGCAUUGUUUUCUAGAGGCCAAAAAGAUGGGUAAUCACAAGAGGUUGUUGUGAAUGAGUAAGCGUACUCUCUCAUUAUUAUUAAUGCUAGCCAACAUCAUAUCAUUGUGAGGUGGGCUUGGUAGUAGUGAGUCUCCCAUACCCUACUAAGAGUUUCCUCCAAAAACUCUCGAAUUCCAAUGAGGGAUAUGGAAUUUGCCAAAAAUAGUGGGUGGUGCUAUUUGAUUUAAAGACCCGAAUCAAAUAGCUUAAAAUCAAUCAAUUUAUAUUCGUUAUGUAUUUGUUUACCAAUAUAUUUGCAAACGUUAUCCAAAACUUGACAAAUAAAAGUCGAAAGCUUUAGUUUCCGGACUUGGUACUACAAAACCAUAGAUUGUCUUUAAUGGCUUGUAAAUGUACCUAA